This 497-nucleotide ribosomal RNA is filed under the name uncultured bacterium. Its description in RNAcentral is "partial 16S ribosomal RNA". It matches the Rfam family "Bacterial small subunit ribosomal RNA", at positions 28 to 507 of the family's 1533-position model. The record is from RNAcentral.
GACGAACGCUGGCGGCGUGCCUAAUACAUGCAAGUUGAGCGAUGAAGAUUGGUGCUUGCCCCAAUUUGAAGAGCAGCGAACGGGUGAGUAACGCGUGGGGAAUCUGCCUUUGAGCGGGGGACAACAUUUGGAAACGAAUGCUAAUACCGCAUAACAACUUUAAACAUAAGUUUUAAGUUUGAAAGAUGCAAUUGCAUCACUCAAAGAUGAUCCCGCGUUGUAUUAGCUAGUUGGUGAGGUAAAGGCUCACCAAGGCGAUGAUACAUAGCCGACCUGAGAGGGUGAUCGGCCAAAUUGGGACUGAGACACGGCCCAAACUCCUACGGGAGGCAGCAGUAGGGAAUCUUCGGCAAUGGACGAAAGUCUGACCGAGCAACGCCGCGUGAGUGAAGAAGGGUUUCGGAUCGUAAAACUCUGUUGGUAGAGAAGAACGUUGGUGAGAGUGGAAAGCUCAUCAAGUGACGGUAACUACCCAGAAAGGGACGGCUAACUACGUG